UGGCCCGUGGUGUAAUUGGCAACACGGUGGAUUCUGGCUCCAUUGUUCUAGGUUCAAGUCCUAGCGGGCCAG
This 72-nucleotide transfer RNA is filed under the name Planctomycetales bacterium. Its description in RNAcentral is "tRNA-Gln". It matches the Rfam family "tRNA". Rfam says of the family: Transfer RNA (tRNA) molecules are approximately 80 nucleotides in length. Their secondary structure includes four short double-helical elements and three loops (D, anti-codon, and T loops). Further hydrogen bonds mediate the characteristic L-shaped molecular structure. tRNAs have two regions of fundamental functional importance: the anti-codon, which is responsible for specific mRNA codon recognition, and the 3' end, to which the tRNAs corresponding amino acid is attached (by aminoacyl-tRNA synthetases). tRNAs cope with the degeneracy of the genetic code in two manners: having more than one tRNA (with a specific anti-codon) for a particular amino acid; and 'wobble' base-pairing, i.e. permitting non-standard base-pairing at the 3rd anti-codon position. Lineage: Bacteria; Pseudomonadati; Planctomycetota; Planctomycetia; Planctomycetales. The record is from RNAcentral.